This 253-nucleotide ribosomal RNA is filed under the name uncultured bacterium. Its description in RNAcentral is "partial 16S ribosomal RNA". It matches the Rfam family "Bacterial small subunit ribosomal RNA", at positions 524 to 776 of the family's 1533-position model. The record is from RNAcentral.
UACAGAGGGUGCGAGCGUUAAUCGGAGUUACUGGGCGUAAAGGGCGCGUAGGCGGUCAUUUAAGAUUGGUGUGAAAUCCCUGGGCUUAACCUAGGAACUGCAUUGAUUACUGGAUGGCUAGAGUAUUGUAGAGGGCAGUGGAAUUUCCGGUGUAGCGGUGAAAUGCGUAGAGAUCGGAAGGAACACCAGUGGCGAAGGCGGCUGCCUGGACAAAGACUGACGCUCAGGUGCGAAAGCGUGGGGAGCAAACAGG